This 253-nucleotide ribosomal RNA is filed under the name uncultured bacterium. RNAcentral describes it as "partial 16S ribosomal RNA". It matches the Rfam family "Bacterial small subunit ribosomal RNA", at positions 524 to 776 of the family's 1533-position model. The record is from RNAcentral.
UACGUAGGGUCCGAGCGUUGUCCGGAAUUACUGGGCGUAAAGAGCUCGUAGGUGGUUUGUCGCGUUGUUCGUGAAAACUCACAGCUCAACUGUGGGCGUGCGGGCGAUACGGGCAGACUAGAGUACUGCAGGGGAGACUGGAAUUCCUGGUGUAGCGGUGGAAUGCGCAGAUAUCAGGAGGAACACCGGUGGCGAAGGCGGCUAUCUGGGCUGAAACUGACGCUGAGGCGCGAAGGCUAGGGGAGCAAACAGG